AAGGAUCAUCAGGACAGGCUUGAGGUCUAAACAGCAGCCUGGGGGUCCUGAUGCUCCCUGUGCCCUAGGCGCCUGGGCUUUAACAAGGCCUGGUCAUCUAGCACAUAAUGUGCUGCAGCUGAAACCCAGCUACAGCGACAGAUGCCCACACGUUAGGUCGCUCCUUCAUGCUUGUCAUCAUAAAGCCUCGGGUUAGGUUAGUUACACUGAAGAUCAGAGUUGUCAAAUGCUAUAUUUUCUCACGA
RNAcentral lists this long non-coding RNA (245 nucleotides) under Pan troglodytes (chimpanzee). RNAcentral describes it as "long non-coding RNA NONPTRT006978". The record is from RNAcentral. Lineage: Eukaryota; Metazoa; Chordata; Mammalia; Primates; Hominidae.